Molecule: long non-coding RNA, 829 nt
Organism: Aegilops tauschii subsp. strangulata
Lineage: Eukaryota; Viridiplantae; Streptophyta; Magnoliopsida; Poales; Poaceae
Source: RefSeq, a predicted model, not a curated record
ACACCUUUUUCAGAUGUUAGUUGAGGCGCUUCUGAUUUUCUCAAUCAGUUGAAGCAUGCGGUGCACUUUCUGAAUGCCAUUUUUUCUUCCUUGCAUCUCAUCCCAAAUGCAAGCAAGCAUGCUUCUACCGAGGCUUAGAAGAAGCCAUGGAUGAGCCGAUGCACCUGGCGACUAGCCGAAUUGACGAGGAGGAGCAGAUGGCGGGGUCGAAGAGAGAUUACCUGGACCCGGACGAUUGCGCCGGAGAUGGUGGAGAUGUUCAUGGCGGCGACGGCGAGGGCAUCAGGAGGAUGGAGGGGCCCGGCGUCUUCGGCGAGCAUGCCGAGCUCGAGCACUUCUGGGGCAGAUUCGAAGGAGCGGGGUAGAGUAGGGCCUGCGAGUCCCGCGCCUCCGCGUCCGCAUCCAACGGAGUCAAGCGCUGGCGCGAGCAUGCCGAGCUCGAGGGACACAUCGGCCACUUCCGCGACCUGAUUCGAAUGGGAGGGGCGGCCUGCCAGGGAGCGUCAGCGCUGGUGAGGAAGGGGAGGGACGGCCUGACCAGGAGCGCCGGCGGUGGUGACGAAGGGGAGGGGGCGGCCUGCCAAGGGAGCGCCGGUUUCACAUAUAUUUGUCCUUGUAUUGUGUCAGUAUGAGAAUAUCCUUCCUAAAUUAUUUAUCCAAACCUGCUGAGGAGGAGAGAAUGGGGAACGGGGAGAUUGUGGGCGGCGAUGGGGAACUAUCCAGAGAAGAAAUGUAUGUGGGCAGUGGAGUACCAGGCAGUGGACGUCGUGGCGUUGUCCACACCAAAAGAAAUCUUCUUUUUACAUUCUUCGAAUAAUACAUUUUUUUA